RNAcentral lists this ribosomal RNA (496 nucleotides) under uncultured bacterium. RNAcentral describes it as "partial 16S ribosomal RNA". It matches the Rfam family "Bacterial small subunit ribosomal RNA", at positions 28 to 506 of the family's 1533-position model. The record is from RNAcentral.
GAUGAACGCUGGCGGCGUGCCUAAUACAUGCAAGUCGAGCGAACAGACGAGGAGCUUGCUCCUCUGACGUUAGCGGCGGACGGGUGAGUAACACGUGGAUAACCUACCUAUAAGACUGGGAUAACUUCGGGAAACCGGAGCUAAUACCGGAUAAUAUAUUGAACCGCAUGGUUCAAUAGUGAAAGACGGUUUUGCUGCCACUUAUAGAUGGAUCCGCGCCGCAUUAGCUAGUUGGUAAGGUAACGGCUUACCAAGGCAACGAUGCGUAGCCGACCUGAGAGGGGGAUGGGCCACAGUGGAACGGAAACACGGUCCAAACCCCUAGGGGGGGCCGAAGUGGGAAAUCUUCCGAAAUGGGCGAAAGCCGGACGGGGCAACGUGGGGGGGGUGAGGAAGGUUUUCGGAUGGUAAAACCCUUUUAUUGGGGAAAAAAAAAUGUGUAAGUAACUAUGCCCGUCUUGACGGUACCUAAUCAGAAAGCCCCGGCUAACUACGU